This 494-nucleotide ribosomal RNA is filed under the name uncultured bacterium. RNAcentral's name for it is "partial 16S ribosomal RNA". It matches the Rfam family "Bacterial small subunit ribosomal RNA", at positions 28 to 507 of the family's 1533-position model. The record is from RNAcentral.
GACGAACGCUGGCGGCGUGCUUAACACAUGCAAGUCGAACGGAAAGGCCUGCUUUCCCUUGUGGAUUGCGGGUACUCGAGUGGCGAACGGGUGAGUAACACGUGAGUGAUCUGCCCCCAACUUGGGUAUAAGCCUGGGAAACUGGGUCUAAUUCCCGAUAGGACUGCAGGGUGGUGCCUGUGGUGGAAAACGAUUUUCUAGUGGUUGGGGAUGAGCUCGCGGCCUAUCAGCUUGUUGGUGGGGUAAUGGCCUACCAAGGCGGCGACGGGUAGCCGGCCUGAGAGGGUGGACGGCGAGAUUGGGACUGGGAUACGGCCCAGACUCCUACGGGAGGCAGCGGUGGGGAAUAUUGCACAAUGGGCGGAAGCCUGAUGCAGCGACGGCGCGUGGGAGAUGACGGCCUUCGGGUUGUAAACUCCUUUCGACCGCGAGGAAGCCACCUGGUUGGAAGGGUGGUGACGGUAGUGGUAGAAGAAGCACCGGCUAACUACGUG